CCUACGGGCGGCAGCAGUGGGGAAUAUUGGACAAUGGGCGAAAGCCUGAUCCAGCCAUGCCGCGUGUGUGAAGAAGGCCUUCGGGUUGUAAAGCACUUUCAGUGGGGAAGAAAGCCUUGGGGCUAAUACCCUCGAGGAAGGACAUCACCCACAGAAGAAGCACCGGCUAACUCCGUGCCAGCAGCCGCGGUAAUACGGAGGGUGCGAGCGUUAAUCGGAAUUACUGGGCGUAAAGCGCGCGUAUGCGGUCUGAUAAGCCGGUUGUGAAAGCCCCGGGCUCAACCUGGGAACGGCAUCCGGAACUGUCAGGCUAGAGUGCAGGAGAGGAAGGUAGAAUUCCCGGUGUAGCGGUGAAAUGCGUAGAGAUCGGGAGGAAUACCAGUGGCGAAGGCGGCCUUCUGGACUGACACUGACGCUGAGGUGCGAAAGCGUGGGUAGCAAACAGGAUUAGAUACCCUGGUAGUC
RNAcentral lists this ribosomal RNA (465 nucleotides) under Vreelandella stevensii. RNAcentral describes it as "partial 16S ribosomal RNA". It matches the Rfam family "Bacterial small subunit ribosomal RNA", at positions 338 to 795 of the family's 1533-position model. Lineage: Bacteria; Pseudomonadati; Pseudomonadota; Gammaproteobacteria; Oceanospirillales; Halomonadaceae. The record is from RNAcentral.